RNAcentral lists this ribosomal RNA (499 nucleotides) under uncultured bacterium. RNAcentral's name for it is "bacterial SSU rRNA". It matches the Rfam family "Bacterial small subunit ribosomal RNA", at positions 28 to 507 of the family's 1533-position model. The record is from RNAcentral.
GGCUAACGCUGGCGGCGUGUCUUAGCCAUGCAAGUCGAGCGGACUUAUGGGGUAACUUAUAAGUCAGCGGCGGACGGCGGAGUAACACGUAGCUAACCUACCCUCUGGACGGGGAUAACCUACCGAAAGGUGGGCUAAUACCCGAUGUAGUCAUCCUGUAUAGGGGUGAUGAAAGGUGGGCUUCUGUUUACAAGCUCAUGCUGGAGGAGGGGGCUGCGGCCUAUCAGGUAGUUGGUAGGGUAAUAGCCUACCAAGCCGAUGACGGGUAGCCGGCCUGAGAGGGUGACCGGCCCGAGGGGCACUGAGAUACGGGUCCCACUCCGUACGGGAGGCAGCAGGCUAGAAAUUUGGGCAAUGGGGGAAACCCUGACCCAGUGACGCCGCGUGCAGGAAGGAGCCCUUCGGGGUGUAAACUGCUGUCGUGUAGGGAGAAGGGUACUAAGGUGAACAAUCUUAGUACUUGACGGUACUACAGGAGGAAGCCCAGGCUAACCUCGUG